AACGUACGCUGGCGGCACGCCUAACACAUGCAAGUCGAACGAAGUAGCAAUACUUAGUGGCAGACGGGUGAGUAACAUGUAGGUAUCUGCCCUUUGGCCUGGAAUAACACGAGGAAACUUGUGCUAAUACCGGAUAAGUCUUUACGGAGAAAGCUUUAUGCACCAUUGGAUGAGCCUGCACUUGAUUAGUUUGUUGGUGGGGUAAUGGCCUACCAAGACUGUGAUCAAUAGCUGAUUUGAGAGGAUGAUCAGCCACAUUGGGACUGAGACACGGCCCAAACUCCUACGGGAGGCAGCAGUGGGGAAUCUUGCACAAUGGAGGAAACUCUGAUGCAGCGAUGCCGCGUGAGUGAAGAAGGCCCUUGGGUUGUAAAGCUCUUUCGUCGGGGAGGAAAAUGACUGUACCCGAAUAAGAAGGUCCGGCUAACUUCGUGCCAGCAGCCGCGGUAAUACGAAGGGACCUAGCGUAGUUCGGAAUUACUGGGCUUAAAGAGUUCGUAGGUGGUUGAAAAAGUUAGUGGUGAAAUCCCAGAGCUUAACUCUGGAACUGCCAUUAAAACUUUUCAGCUAGAGUAUGAUAGAGGAAAGCAGAAUUUCUAGUGUAGAGGUGAAAUUCGUAGAUAUUAGAAAGAAUACCAAUUGCGAAGGCAGCUUUCUGGAUCAUUACUGACACUGAGGAACGAAAGCAUGGGUAGCGAAGAGGAUUAGAUACCCUCGUAGUCCAUGCCGUAAACGAUGUGUGUUAGACGUUGGAAAUUUAUUUUCAGUGUCGCAGGGAAACCGAUAAACACACCGCCUGGGGAGUACGACCGCAAGGUUAAAACUCAAAUGAAUUGACGGGGACCCGCACAAGUAGUGGAGCAUGUGGUUUAAUUCGAAGAUACGCGCAGAACCUUACCAACACUUGACAUGUUCGUCGCGACUCUAAGAGAUUAGAGUUUUUGGUUCGGCCGGACGAAACACAGGUGCUGCAUGGCUGUCGUCAGCUCGUGUCGUGAGAUGUUGGGUUAAGUCCCGCAACGAGCGCAACCCUCACUUUUAGUUGCCAUCAUUAAGUUGGGCACUCUGAAAGAACUGCCAGUGAUAAGCUGGAGGAAGGUGGGGAUGACGUCAAGUCCUCAUGGCCCUUACGUGUUGGGCUACACACGUGCUACAAUGGUAUCUACAACAGGAAGCAAGACUGCGAAGUUAAGCAAAUCCCUAAAAGAUACCUCAGUUCGGAUUGCACUCUGCAACUCGAGUGCAUGAAGCUGGAAUUACUAGUAAUCGUGGAUCAGCGUGCCACGGUGAAUGCGUUCCCGGGUCU
RNAcentral lists this ribosomal RNA (1306 nucleotides) under uncultured bacterium. Its description in RNAcentral is "bacterial SSU rRNA". It matches the Rfam family "Bacterial small subunit ribosomal RNA", at positions 28 to 1381 of the family's 1533-position model. The record is from RNAcentral.